CUCCAUUCUAUUUUUUCAGGUUUUAUGCAGCAGAAAUAGUGAGUGGACUUCAGUAUUUGCAUUCACAGGGCAUAGUGUACAGAGAUUUGAAAUUAGACAAUGUCAUGCUAGACCGUGACGGCCACAUCAAAAUCGCUGACUUUGGGAUGUGCAAAGAGGCUGUAUUCAACGAUAACAAGGCGACGACUUUCUGUGGCACACCAGAUUACAUUGCUCCGGAGAUCCUGAAGGGAUGGCGAUACAACGCGUCUGUUGAUUGGUGGUCCUUCGGUGUCCUCCU
Mizuhopecten yessoensis (Yesso scallop) is the source of this 280-nucleotide long non-coding RNA. RefSeq lists it as uncharacterized. Lineage: Eukaryota; Metazoa; Mollusca; Bivalvia; Pectinida; Pectinidae. The record is from RefSeq and is a predicted model, not a curated record. The transcript has 3 exons.